CAGAAAAGGAGUUAGAACAAAUGCCAUG
This 28-nucleotide non-coding RNA is filed under the name Cricetulus griseus (Chinese hamster). The record is from RNAcentral. Lineage: Eukaryota; Metazoa; Chordata; Mammalia; Rodentia; Cricetidae.